AUGUCUUCAACUUACGAGUAAGAAAAAUAAUGGUUCAGGGCGACACCUAAAUCCUCACUGCUGUUGGGAGACGAUGUUUUGAGCAGGUAAAGGUCACCCCUAAGGUGACCUGCCACUUUGCAGGAUACCUGGGAGUCACAGUCACCCUG
Molecule: small nuclear RNA, 149 nt
Organism: Suricata suricatta (meerkat)
Lineage: Eukaryota; Metazoa; Chordata; Mammalia; Carnivora; Herpestidae
Gene: U12
Rfam family: U12 minor spliceosomal RNA
About the family: Although the U12 sequence is very divergent from that of U2, the two are functionally analogous.
Source: Ensembl